Molecule: non-coding RNA, 239 nt
Organism: Notechis scutatus (mainland tiger snake)
Lineage: Eukaryota; Metazoa; Chordata; Lepidosauria; Squamata; Elapidae
Source: RefSeq, a predicted model, not a curated record
AGCGAUACCGAAGCGCAGUGUGAAGCCAUGCAGGAAAUUGUGGAUCAAGUCUUGGAGGAGGAUUUUGAUCAGGAGCAGCUCUCAGUCCUGGCGUCCUGCUUACAGGAGCUGUUCAAAGCUCAUUUCCGCGGGGAGGUUUUGCCCGAAGAAAUCACGGAAGAGUCUCUGGAAGAAUCUGUAGGAAAGCCGCUUUACUUAAUAUUUAGGAACCUCUGCCAGAUGCAGGAAGACAACAGCAG